This 466-nucleotide ribosomal RNA is filed under the name uncultured bacterium. Its description in RNAcentral is "partial 16S ribosomal RNA". It matches the Rfam family "Bacterial small subunit ribosomal RNA", at positions 28 to 507 of the family's 1533-position model. The record is from RNAcentral.
GAUGAACGCUGGCGGCGUGCUUAACACAUGCAAGUCGAACGGAAAGGCCCAAGCUUGCUUGGGUGCUCGAGUGGCGAACGGGUGAGUAACACGUGGGUGAUCUGCCCUGCACUUUGGGAUAAGCCUGGGAAACUGGGUCUAAUACCGGAUAGGACCAUCGUUCAGUUUCGGUGGUGGAAAGUUUUUCGGUGUGGGAUGAGCUCGCGGCCUAUCAGCUUGUUGGUGGGGUAAUGGCCUACCAAGGCGUCGACGGGUAGCCGGCCUGGGAGGGUGUACGGCCACAUUGGGACUGAGAUACGGCCAAGACUCCCACGGGAGGAAGCAGUGGGGAAGAUUGCACAAUGAGCGCAAGCCUGAUGCAGCGCCGCCGCGUGGGGGAUGACGGCCUUCGGGUUGUAAACUCCUUUCGCCAAGGACGAAGCGUUUUGUGACGGUACUUGGAGAAGAAGCACCGGCUAACUACGUG